CUCUCUCUCCCUCCCUCCUCUAAAGACGUCUACUCUGUGGCUCAGUUCCUCAGCCGACGCAAAACCUCACUUAGUAGAUUAGAUCCUCUCAGCUCCAAUUGUUUCUUUCAUGCCCGUGUAUAAUUAUUUUUGCGUGUGCUGUCCUGUCCAAUUUUUGAUUGAGAUGGUACUGUUAGCUUUCAAAAAUCCAGUUGGGAGAAGCUGCAAUGGUAUUUUCCAGCACUGUAGACUUGGAUAACUUGAUUCUUGAGCUAAUAAUCAACCCCCAGCAUUAAAUCGGUGCAAGGAUGAUGUAUACACUGUGGAUGUCGUUUGAUUGGAUCAUGACUUAUGACAGAUGUUUUUAGAAGCUCAGGUAUGGAUUCGUUUAGCAGGGACUACGGAUUAUCAAGAGCGGCGAUCAUAGGUGAUUCCAAUGGAAAAAAGCGCGCGAAGGCGCUAGGCGACAACAUAACGCCUAGCGCUUAAUCAUGCUAGGUGUGCGUUUAAGCGCAACUAGGUGAGAUAAGCGCGAGGCCGUGGCAAACCGCACAAUUAACGCCUAGCGCUUUCUUUUCCUUGGAUGAUUCAUCAUAAAUUUGGCUUUGCUCUGUGCUUCCGGAAGCGUGUAUAGAGCCACGUAAGAGCUGAGCUGACGAACUAACACGUAACGUAAAGUCUCACCUUUGGCAUAAAUGUGGUACUGCAUUAUGAUGCAAUCGAUAUUUAUAUACAGCAUUUUUAAUUACCUGCACCGCUACAUUCUGCAAGAAAGAUGUUAAUUAAGAUUAAUUUAGUUAAUACCAGUGAAUAUUUGGUGUACACAUGCCAAAGCUUGACCGCCUUCAUUGAUUUUUAUUACUGCUAGUUUCUUCUCACAAUCCCUGAGUUGGUGAUGACCAGUGAUUAGUGUCUUUGUAUAUUUAAUCUCUGUUAUAAAGGUUGGGGUUUUAAUUUUCAAGUCAAGUUACAGCUGGAAAUUCUUCAAAGCAAAACAUAUUUUUAUUUAUGGCGCUCUCCAAUUUGGGAUUAUAACCAAUAUAGGGUAACGACAUAAUGAACAUUUAGUUGCCCUUUGCCUGUUUGUUGUUAUCUAUCCGAGCUAGAAAAUUGGAUUGUAGUUUUGUAGUGUUGUCUUCUUGACGUGCUAUAUAGCUUGUCCAGGGAUAGGAAAAACUUGACAUUUGUUGCACCCCGGUUUUGUCUGGCUUCAUUGUUUCAUUUAAGGACAUUUUACGUUUGUCAGUACUCUACUGAUGCGGUGAUGAAUUUACCAGUUCUGUUCACUAGCUUCUUCUAGUUUCAUGUUCCCCCAGAGGUGUUUUUUUGUGUAACUUUAAUGUGGUGAUAAUACACUCCUUAAAAUGUUCCAUUUAACACAAUAAUAGUGUACUGUUUCUUCGUGUGCUUCUGUUUGUAAGUCGUCUGUUUAUCAGUUUCUGUAUAGCUUGAGAUGUUAAGCCCUUCCUGUAUGGCUGUGUGCAACGUUUUAUGUGCCAUGUUCCUGAUUAAGAUGGCUUUUUGGCAGGGGUUCCUUGGACUGAAGAAGAACAUCGGAGGUUUUUGCUUGGAUUGCAGAAGCUUGGAAAGGGUGAUUGGCGAGGGAUCUCUCGUAAUUUUGUGGUCUCAAGAACACCUACUCAAGUAGCAAGCCAUGCUCAGAAAUAUUUUAUACGCCAAGCCAAUAUGAGCAGAAGGAAGAGAAGGUCUAGCCUCUUUGACUUGGUGCCUGAUGAGGUAGGUUGCUAGAUCUUAUGAUUGAUUAUUACACCUGUGUGGCAUAACUUGACCUGAUUCUCUUUAUGUAGUUACAAUAUCACUACCUUAGUUCCUCAUGCUAGAAAUCUAUCUUUUUGAACAGAUCGUGUAGUGUUGCAUGGACAGGCAUGCAGUUCUCAUCUCGCAUUUCAUUAGGAAGAUAUUAGUUUGCACUUUGUAUAUAAGUCAGAACUGAACGGUAUCUUGUGUAUUUUACAGUCGGACCUGCCACCCCUUCCUGGUAAUCAAGAACCUGAGGCCCAGAUAUUGAAUCACCCACCAUUACCUCCACCCAUGGAGGAGGAGGAGGUAGAAUCUAUGGAGUCAGAUACUUCUGUCAUUGCAGAGAGUUCUUCAGCUUCUGCUAUCAUGCCUGAGAAUUUGCAGUCGAGCUAUCCGGUGCUAGUUCCAGCAUAUUUCUCACCAUUCUUGCAAUUCUCAGUUCCUUUCUGGCAAAAUCAGAAUGAUGGAGAUGAUCUUGGACAAGGGACACAUGAGAUUGUGAAGCCUGUUCCAGUUCAUUCAAAGAGUCCAAUCAAUGUUGAUGAACUGGUGGGCAUGUCUAAGCUAAGCAUAGGGGAUCCCAAGCAAGAUACAGUAUCUACCUCUCUUUCCUUAAAAAUGGUAGGAGGUCAAAAUAGACAAUCGGCUUUCCAGGCGAAUCUCCCAACGAGGGCUCAGGCGUGAGCCCCUCAGCACACAAACUGCACUUAGAUGAGCCCUGGCAAAAAUAAGCUUUGCCUCUUUUCCUUUUCUUUUCUUUUUAAGAUUAACUGUGGUCUGUAGUCUGUCCAAUGUACCCUGUGUUGUAAGUUAUGUUAUGUAUGGAUGCAUCUGUUGUUUGUAUGGCACAUGAUAUAUGCCCACUGCAUGUUGACAGAAUCAUUAAUGUUAGUGCUGAUCUCCAGGGUUGUACUGUAAACUCUUAUAUAAGAAAAAGAAAUAUCAGUCAGUUAUUGGACCUUUGAAGUGAGCUCUGCUCAUUCUGUUCUACACAAUCUUCAUUACUGAAUGAUGAAUCAGUGUCUUCAGAUUUUGUCCCGAUACUGGAAAUUUGGAGCUGGCUAUCCAGUCACUCACUCAAGAUCUUAUGGUUGAAAGAAGCCAUGCUAAAUAUUUUACCAAUGACUGCUGCAUGAUUUUAUUCUUAUAUGGUUGGCAUGUGUCUAUAUGGUUUAAUGUAUUUGUGGCAAGAACAAACGGAUUAGUGGAUUCUCCUUCGGGACAGAUUCUAUAUCUGGGAUAUUCCCUGGGACUGUACCUUUCAAUCCUGAUUCUGCAUUUGCACUCACCUCCAUUAUGCACCAAGUGUUGCAAGUGUGGUUGGUGACAGACAGUAGUGGCUAGUGGCCAGUCCCUUUCAGAUAUAUCGACAUAUUUCCAAGCUGUUGGGUUGUGCACGAGUGCACUGUUUGGCCAUCCAAGGACCUGUCACUUUUACAUCUUUAGCAAAAGUCAUGAUGCAUAAUCAGACAAUCCAGUCCCUCUGAGAGACGGUUCACUUAUAUAUUUUUUCUCUGAAAUUCCAGUUACUUCAUAUCAGUAAUCUCACCGUUUGAAAUGGCCAUAUGUAGGAACUGGCAACAGCAACCACAGGUCUGUCAGGUGACACAAUUAGAUGCAAUCAUACUUACAAACUUAUCUGCUAGUUUAAAGUCCUGUACUAUGUUUUUCCUUGCAGGUUUGAUGGAAAUACAUUCAAGUUCGGAAGUCACUAGGAGCUCGGCGAGUAGAUUUUCCUUUCUUGCCUCUCCUUUUCCUCCUCUUCCUUAUCAUCUUCCUCCCCAACAAUCUUCUUCCAGAACCAAUGCCUCCUCCAGACCUGUUCCAUCUGCUCCAUCGGAAGCUUCUUGGUCUCUGGCAGGAACAGAUAGACCACUAGCGUCAUCACGCAAAUCCACGCGGCAAAGACGAAGAACGUUCCCGACUUGAUGCGGCAGAGGACCGCCAGAAAUGUCUGGCCGAUCACAAACGUCAUCAGGAAGACCACGGCGACCACAAUGCUCUGCCCUGCUGACCUGAUCUCCAGUGGGCAGAUCUCAGUCGGGACGAGGAAUGUGAGAGGCCCCCAUGACCAUGCAAAGCCUGCCACAAACACACACAUGGUGAUCAACACAAGGAAAGCAUAGUCCUUAUCCAUCAACCCAUUGUCCUUGAACUUUGCAGCUAGGAUGGCGCCGACAGCGAGCUGCGACAAGAUCAUCUGGAUCCCUCCUACAAGGAAGAGCUUCCUGCGCCCAAACCUGUCGACCACCAUCAUCGCUACGAUGUUGGCAAAUGUUGCGCAGAGACGCGUGACCACCGAAGACAGGAGGGAGGCGCUCUCCUUGAGGCCAAUUGUCCGGAACAUCACCGGGGCAUAGAAGUUCAUCACAUUGAUCCCGGUGAGCUGGCUGAAGAAAGGGAUCAGGAACACCAUGGCGAGCUGUGGCCUGUACUUCCUCUUGAAUAUGUCUCUGAAUGGGUAUCUGGCUGCCCUGGAGAGGUUGCUAGCAGAGACCAAGUCAUCCAGCUCAUUCUGUACUGAGGUGGUUCCACGCAGCUUCUGGAGCAGGGCUCUCGCCUUGUCGGUGUCGCUGUCCCGCUGGAUUAUGAAGCUUGGCGUCUCGGGGAGGAAGAUUGCACCGAUGGUCAGGAAUGCAGCAGGGACUGCGGCCAUGGAUAGGGAUAUCCUCCAGCCCCACCCUGCUGUGAGUUUCACCACGCAGUAGUUGAGGAUGUUUGCAAUGAGAAUGCCGAUGCUGAUGCUGAGCUCGAACCCAUUGUUGAUUGCACCGCGGUACUGCGGUGGCGCCAUUUCUGACAGGUACAAUGGGAUCGACUGAAAAAAUAAAGAGUCAAUUACACCACUGGUGCUAAAACUUGACGUGAAAAAUCACUUCAGUGCUAGAACUUGUGGCAUAUGUUGCAUUGGUGCUACAACUUGGCUUUGGCAUGCAUAUACGGUGCAAGUCGCAUUUGUAUACGGACACGGCAUGGCACGGGGCCUGCUGUCAGCCACUAGAUGGUACAGAUUGGGUGUGUGGCUUGUUAUUUUGUGGAAAACCACUCGGAUUAAUUUUUCUCAUGAAAAGGCCUCUGGCACAUAUUGGUCCAUCUGUCAGCAAGCAAAUUAUGUGCAAAAAAUUGCGGACGAUGGGAUUUGAUCCCAAAGUGCAGCGUGGAAGGGCGUGUGCCUAAUCAAUGCACCAAGAGGUGUUUUUUGUUAUAAAUGCAAAAGUACACUAUAUAUCCAUGAGGCCUUGAGCUAGCUGGAGACCCUACAUCAUUUUGCAGUGUUAUUUAUAUACUUUUUUAAAAAUUAUAUGUAAAUUAUAAUCGUGAGUCAUGCUUUCAGAAUUUUUUAUUUUUCUAUAUAUUCUAAUAAGUGCUUACAUAAGUUUAAAAUGUUCACAGUUUUAACAAAAUAUUUAUGUAGUAUAUAAAAGUGUUUAUGCUUUAAGAAAUUUUCUAAAUAUUUUAAUAAAUUCUUAUAUAAGUUUAAAAAUGUUCACAGUUUCAAAAAAAUUACUCAUGUAGUCUAUAAAAGUGUUCAUGCUUUAAGAAACGUAUAUUCAUAAAAUGUACAAAUAGUUGGCUAGGAUUCGAACCAGCGAUAUGUAGUCAUCAGGUGCACGUGGCCACCACCCACCCAACAGCGUUAUUUUUUUUAGAAAUUUAGAAAAUAUAAGUAAAUUAUAAUCUUGUGUUAUAGCUAAUAUAUACAUAAUAAUUACAUUAUAAAUUAUUCACGUAUUAUUUCGAAAAAUAUCAAUAUGAUUAAAUUAUAAAUUAUAAAAUUAUGCACGUAAUAAUUUUCAUAUUCAAUAAAAAUGUCAAAUAAAACUUUCUAUAUAUUUAAAUAGGUGGUAAUAUGUAUUUAAAAUGUUCAUGCUUUGAAUAAUAUAGUUAUGUUUAAUAUAAAAUUGUUCAUAUUCAUUCUGCAAUUUAUUUUAUUUGCAGCACACAGUUAUAAUUUACAUGUAAUUUAUUAUUUUUGUAAAAAAUAAUAGUUCAAAAUGGGUCGUAGGGUGCCCGGCCCACUUAAGAUCUAAAGAAUAUAUUAUGUGCGUAUCCACUAAGAACAAACGACGAUUCUGGCUGCAUUGGUUAAGCACACAUGUGACAGGUCUCCACGCUACAGAUUGCGGGUUUGAAACCUAUCGGCCACAAUUUUCCAGCUGAUAGAUGGACCGAAAUGUGUCAGUGGCCUUUUCAUGAGAAAAAAUAAUCCUGAGGUGUUUUCCACAAAAUAACAGGCUGCACGCCCUAUCUCUACAUUUAGUGUAUGACAGCGGGCCUUUAGUGUCUGACAGCGGGCCUCAUGCCAUAUGGCGCGCCUAAUCAGUACCAUGUCCAUAUGCAAAUGCCACAAAAUAACAGGCCGCACAUCCUACCUCUACAUUUAGUGUCUGACAGCGGGCCUCAUGUCAUGCGGCAUGCCUAAUCAGCACCAUGUCAGUAACAAAUAUGAUUUGCACAUAUGCACGCCGAAGCCAAGUUUUAGCACUAGUUCAUUGUAUGCCAUAAGUUUUGGUACUAAAGUGAUUUUUCGCGUCAAGUUUUAGCACCACUGGUGUAAUUGACUCAAAAAUAAACAUAACAGUAACCACAGUAAGGUAUUUAGUGGACUUCACAAUGUCCUUUUGGAGAAAGAAAAAUAUUAUUCAGAAACUUCACAUGCACUUGCUACAAGAUAACACACCUUAUCGGGUAGUCAAUGCAAUGAUUUUUUGGGAUUUGGGAGGGAGACAUGUAAAUUGUCAUUGUAAACAUGUAGCUAUCCAUUGUCAUCAACUUGGAGGUUGGAACAAAUUACAUCUACAGGAAUCUUAUGUCUGUACACAAAGCUUGCGCAUUGCUUCUCCAGCUACAUACAGCCGCACAAGAUUUGUGGACUGAUGCAGGGUCCGGAAGGAUGAUCUUUCUAUAUUAUCCAAAAGAAAUUUAUACAUGUCUGACGAAACUUCGCUGCGCUACAGAUUUUUUUAAUCUCCUGAACCACAUGUACACGCUGACUUAAAGAUCAUUGGCUUGAAUUACUGCAGAGAGAGUUACCUGGUUAGUGAACCCCAGGCCUAUUCCAAGCAGGAUCCGGUUGAGGAGCAACAUGGGCACGUUCACGGCUGCUCCCCAAAACGCUGAGCCGGCGAUGAAGACGGUUCCGCCAAUCAGCAUGGACGCGCGGCGGCCAAACCUCCUCGUGACACACGACGCGAACAGCGUCGCGAUGAGGCCGGCGAUGUAGAGGGAGGAGGUGAAGACGGCGAGGAGCUCGCUGUCGAACUGGCAGUAGUUGCUGACGUUGCUGUCCUGCUUGUGGCUGUACACCUCCGGGAAGAACGUCUUCAGAAAUGAGUCCAUGGAGGUGACACCACCUAGAAGAUUUCAGAACCGCGUGCAUUCAGUUUCAGUGAAUUUGGGGUGGGAGUGGGAAUGGAAGAAUGCAUAUGCACAACUAAGUUCAUCGCGUAAUGUUCACCUGCCCAAUGAUGGAACGCAUCAUCUUUUCUUUUUCUAUAAUCCCUCUAAAAGGACUAGUCCUAGAUCAUUUUGAUCUGAAGAAAAAUGGAGCAGAGGAAAGCACCCUGAACUCAUCAGUUGUGUCCCAAUAAUGGAAGAGAAAAUCUCCACCGCCACGAGGCACUGAAGCCAUUAAUGCACCACAAGUAAGCCAUGAAUGCCAUUUUAAUCCCUUCCAAGUCCAGCUUCUAACUUUCAGCUCUCAUAUUCCUUUCCGUUGAGCCCAAGAGGGUUAACAAUCUACAGUACUCUAGUCUAGAAAGAAGGAAGAAGAUGGGCGUACCGGAGAUGCCGAGGUCGUAGCCGAAGAGGAUGCCGCCGCUGCCGGCGACGAUGCAGGUCAGCACCACGAACGGCGUCACCCGGCCGCUGUACCCGCCGGAGCCGGCGGCCGGCGCCUCCACGGACGCCCCUAUCGCCAUCACUCCCUGCCCUUGCUCUCCUACUCCUAGUCCAAGGGCAGAGUGUCGUGGCGCGGGAGAGAGGGAGGGAGAGAAAGAGAUAUAUAAUUUUAUCGGCGGAUGGAUUGCUGACGUGCGCCCACUCCGGCGAAAAAACGGCCGCACGUCGCCGGCGAGGUUGACUGACACCUUUGACUACCUCUGGGGUCCCACUCAUCGGUGGCCCUGUGGAUUCUGAUUUUGUUGCGGGUGGAAAUGAUACGAGCAGGCCCACUUGAGCCCAACUAAUUAGAUGGGCCAGGAGGUAGCUCGGUUACUCACUUUGUACCGGAUGCAACCGUAAGAUCCAAUCUGCCGGUGGCCGCCGGCGAGAUGGACCUGCCGGCGAACCGCGGUCGGUGGCGCAGGCGGAGCGCACGGUCGCAUGUGCCGCUACUCGUGGCCAUCUUUUUCCUCCUCCUCCCGGCAUCCCUCCUGCUCUCCUCCGCCUACUCCUCCCUGCUCCGCUCCCUCCUCCCCUUCUCCGCCUCCGCCCCCGGCAGUGGCGGCGGCGGCACCCUGCGGUGUGGGCGCUCGGCGGAGCUGGAGGGGGAGAGGUUCCUGUGGUACGCCCCGCACAGCGGGUUCAGCAACCAGGUGGGCGAGCUGCGGAACGCUGCGGUAGCGGCCGCGCUGCUCAACCGCACCCUCGUCGUGCCCCCCGUGCUCGACCACCACGCCGUCGCCCUCGGGAGCUGCCCCAAGUUCAGGGUCGCCGAACCCUCCGAUCUCCGAGCCGCCGUCUGGGACCACGCCAUGCAGCUCCUCCGGGAGCAGAGGUAAAGCCCACACCACACCUUCUGCUCGGUUUACUGAUUGUUUGGAAGAUCACGAUGUUCUUUAGUAAAAUCAAUCAUGUUGCGAGAUAUUAGAGCUUCAUUACAAUGUUAACAAUGCAAACACCAAAAUGUAAGAAUGCUAGGUAAUUUUCAUGAUUUAGAAUCACACUGAUUCUUUUUCGUAAUUGAUCGAGACUCCAGUGCGGUGAGAUUGGUGCCAAGAGGAAUGUGAAUAUAGAGAUGUAAUGUGGUUGUUACACACGUACACUGGCAGAGUACUCACUUUACUGAUUAGCACAAUAGUGAUAUAAUUUUUCAAGUUUGCAGUGUUCAUAAUAGGUUUCCAUGUUCACCUUUUACGUUUCAGGUAUGUUUCGAUGGGAGACAUAGUUGAUCUGUCCCCACUGAAGCCUUUGGUUAAGACAAUUGAUUUCAGGGUAUUUGUUUCACUAUGGUGCGGUGUAGAUAUGCAGAAAACUUGCUUUUCUGGGUUGUGCUGUUCUGUUUCUGGCGGUGGAUCAUUGCCAAGUGACUACGAUAGAUGCCGAUCUUUACUGUCUGGUUUAGAAGGCAGUGAAAGUGGUGGUUGUGUGUAUCCUGUUCAGGAUGAUUGUAGAACAACAGUCUGGACAUAUCAGGAGAAUAAUGAUGGAGCACUGGAUUCGUUUCAACCAGAUGAAGAAUUAAAAAGGAAGAAGAAGAUAUCAUACGUUAGGAGGCGUAAAGAUAUAUACAAGAGUUUAGGGCCUGGUAAUAAAGCUGAGGAUGCUACCUUGUUGGCCUUCGGGACACUUUUUUCAGCACCAUACAAGGGAUCAGAGUCUUAUUUUGAUAUCCAUGAAUCACCAAAGGAUCAUAGAUUACAGAAUCUACUUGAGAAAAUUGAGUUCCUUCCUUUUGCCCCAGAGAUCAUGGCUGCAGGGACGGAGCUUGCUAAGAGCAAGAUUAAGGAGCCUUUUCUUUGCGCACAACUAAGAUUGUUAGAUGGCCAAUUUAAGAAUCACUGGAAAUCUACCUUUUCUGCCCUUAAGGAGAAACUGAAAUCUCUUGAGGUGGAAAUGAAGACAAACAAGAACAGUGGUUCUGUUCACAUUUUCCUCAUGACUGAUCUUCCCAGAGCAAACUGGACAAAAACCUAUCUCGCAGAUAUUGCAAAAGAUGGGAAAUAUCAACUGUACAUCCUGAAGGAAGAUGAUGUUCUGCAGACUGCCGAGAAGCUUAUGGCUGCUGAACAUGGCAUAAGGUCUGGAUUCCUUCCAAAGAUCAGAGGCAACACGAACAAGGAUUGUGAUCCAGUUCAACUACCGGAAAUUUUAUUAUACAUCGAAGAAUCUGUUUGCAGCUGUGCAUCACUCGGAUUUGUGGGGACUGCUGGAUCAACCAUAGCAGGAAGUAUAGAAACAAUGAGGAAGAACAAUGUGUGCAAAUUGUAGGAGAACUACAUUAUUUGUGCAAGCUGCCACAAAACUAACCGAUGCUACUUAAUGAGUUAAUUCAGUGGGGGCUGUUGCACUACAGAGAGCUGAAUCAUUGCAGACUAGAGACUGAGAAACCAGUUUCAUGCUCAGGUUCUACGACUCUACAAUGUUGAGCAUCUACUGCGGUAUAUUAAAAUUCAAACCACUCUCUCUUUUCCUUUGUUUCAGUCGCGUAGAUAGACAAGGCUCAUUGUUUGCAAGCUGUGCCUAAAUUAUGUUGCGUUUCAUCCUCCAAUUUUGUCAUGACAGGCAAGGACAGAGAUAGCUUGUGUAGACGACUGUCGGAAUCAAACAGAUUUCAUGGGCUCUCUUCUUGUUACAGAUUCAUCAUCCAUGCAUGUCCUUGUUUAGCAAGUUUUUUUUAAUAAGGAAAUGAGUGAAAAAAACUAACUAUUUGUGUAUAUCUAACUGUACUGUAAUGCACAACUUACAGUGAUAAACAAGCUGUAGUAUUCCCAGAAGCUUGGCUUAGCUAGAAAUCAUCAUUUGCUAGUGAGUUAUUUCUAUCAAUAGAAACUUCUACCCCUUGAUGCUGCAUCUCACACAUAAUUAUACACUUAUAUUUUGACUGUUGAUCAAAUUGCAACACUUCUUUUUUCUUUUCUUGAAAAUGAGUUAAUCUCGAUUCUCUUUUGGCUAAGAUUUUCAACUCUGUAGGAACAUUCUGCCGUACAGUUAUUCUACAGUAUGGCAUGUCUAGACGCUAAGUUGUAC
This 10650-nucleotide long non-coding RNA is filed under the name Triticum aestivum (bread wheat). RNAcentral's name for it is "long non-coding RNA (TAES_LNC006263)". Lineage: Eukaryota; Viridiplantae; Streptophyta; Magnoliopsida; Poales; Poaceae. The record is from RNAcentral.